This 31-nucleotide ribosomal RNA is filed under the name Elderia arenivaga. Its description in RNAcentral is "partial 28S ribosomal RNA". RNAcentral also lists the same sequence under 1 other name. Lineage: Eukaryota; Fungi; Ascomycota; Pezizomycetes; Pezizales; Pezizaceae. The record is from RNAcentral.
UGACCUCAGAUCAGGUAGGGAUACCCGCUGA